Molecule: ribosomal RNA, 598 nt
Filed under: uncultured bacterium
Lineage: Bacteria
Description: bacterial SSU rRNA
Rfam family: Bacterial small subunit ribosomal RNA
Source: RNAcentral
CCUACGGGAGGCAGCAGUGGGGAAUAUUGGGCAAUGGAGGAAACUCUGACCCAGCGACGCCGCGUGCGGGAUGAAGGCCUUCGGGUUGUAAACCGCUUUCAGUAGGGAAGAAGCGAAAGUGACGGUACCUACAGAAGAAGCACCGGCUAACUAUGUGCCAGCAGCCGCGGUAAUACAUAGGGUGCAAGCGUUGUCCGGAAUUAUUGGGCGUAAAGAGCUCGUAGGUGGUUCGUCACGUCGGAUGUGAAAAUCUGGGGCUCAACCCCAGACCUGCAUUCGAUACGGGCGAUCUAGAGUGUGGUAGGGGAGACUGGAAUUCCUGGUGUAGCGGUGGAAUGCGCAGAUAUCAGGAGGAACACCAAUGGCGGAGGCAGGUCUCUGGGCCAUUACUGACACUGAGGAGCGAAAGCGUGGGGAGCGAACAGGAUUAGAUACCCUGGUAGUCCACGCCGUAAACGGUGGGCACUAGUUGUGGGAACCUUCCACGGUUUCUGCGACGCAGCUAACGCAUUAAGUGCCCCGCCUGGGGAGUACGAUCGCAAGAUUAAAGCUCAAGGAAUUGACGGCUGAGAGNGCGAGACGACGACGAGGGAGGAGG